This 107-nucleotide small nuclear RNA is filed under the name Phascolarctos cinereus (koala). Lineage: Eukaryota; Metazoa; Chordata; Mammalia; Diprotodontia; Phascolarctidae. The record is from RNAcentral.
AUGUUCACGUCAGCCACAUGUAUACUAAAAUUAAAAUAAUAGAGAUAAGAUUAGAAUGGCCCCUAUGCAACGAUGGCACACAAUCCAUGGUGUCCUGUGUUUUUUAU